AAAAAAAAAAAGCAAGAAAAAAAAGGUAAAAUUGUCUAUCUUUUUUCUUUUUCUUGGGUUGGAAAUUAUUGAAUCUAAAAUCUAAGAAUACUCGCCGUAGAACUCAGGAAUCCCAGAAGCAGCCCAUAGCCUCUCAUUGAAAGCCGCCUGCAUAUCUUCAGGAAUCACGGGUGUACGGCAAAGUGGGCAAGUUUUCUGGUCGUAACCGACCCAUCGGUCCAAGCAGGUCCGGUGGAAGAUAUGGCGGCAGUUGGUGAGGCAUCUGAUCUCAUCUUGUUCUUCAAAGUCGUAGAGACAGACAGCGCAGCUGUCAGGUGGGUCGACAAGGUCAGUGAACUUGACAACGGGGAGGAUCUCGCGUAUGAGGACGGCAGAGACGGAGUAGAACUCAGGGAUCCGUGGAGGUGUUUCGGGCCAAGAAAUGUCAGGUUCAAGGAAAUCAGGGAGACCCAGAUAGCGAAAGAGAGUGCUUAUGAGCUUGCGAAUGAAACCCAGAAAAGAAAGAGUGUGGAUUAGUAUUUUAGGGAGAAGAAGCUCUGAGUAGCCUACAGGGAAGCCCAUGGAGUAGAGAGAGGUAUUGUGUAAUGGCAGUGCUAUGAUGUUGGUGUGGCUUGUUUGUGUUGUUACUGUUGCAGAAACAGAAAGAGAAGGGUGGGUUAUAUAGAGGGUUGAGAGAGAGUAAAAUGACAGUAAGGGGUCUCAGAACAUAACAGAUGCCAAAAGUGAUCAUAGCCAAAUUUUACUGCUGUCUUAUUCAUCUGCUUUUACAGGUUUUUA
This 777-nucleotide unclassified non-coding RNA is filed under the name Hevea brasiliensis (rubber tree). Lineage: Eukaryota; Viridiplantae; Streptophyta; Magnoliopsida; Malpighiales; Euphorbiaceae. The record is from RNAcentral.